CCAUUUCUUGGGCUGCUCCCGCAGCAUAUGGAGGUUCCCAGGCUAGGGGUCAAAGCGGAGCUGUAGCCACCAGCCUACGCCAGAGCCACAGCAACACAGGAUCCAAGCCUCGUCCGCCAGAUCCUUAACCCACUGAGCAAGGCCAGGGGUAGAACCCGCAACCUCGUGGUUCCUAGUCAGAUUCGUUAACCACUGAGCCAUGAUGGGAACUCCCAAAAUCUCAAUCUUCUUGAACAGUUCUAGAUCAUAGAAAAAGGACAGCUUUAAGAUUAUUGUUAUAAAACUAUAAUACGAAAAACUAUGAUACUAAAAACCAUCAUGAUCACAUAAAGAAUUAUAAAGUACACACACUUAUGACUAUAGAGGCAAAACUCUAAAUAAAAUAUUAGCAGAUACAUUCCAUCAGGAAUUCAAUUCGAUCCACUAUAAAAAAAUCUUAUAACUCAUAGUAGUUGACUGAAAGAGAAAUAUCUUGUUAUUGUCUCCAUAAAUGCUGAAAAAUAACUUAAUAAAUUCCACAUCCAGUCUUAAUAAAAAAUGAAAGUUCAGAUUUUAAAAUAGGGAUAAAUGGAUUCUUCCUAAACAUGGUAACGUUGGUCAGGACACUGAUCAAAAGGAAAAUGUUUAAAAAUAUUUAUUUAGGAAUAAGACAAAGACCCUUCACUAUCACUAAUAGUACAUGACAACAGAAUGAACAAAAAAAAAUAUGUAAUCAGCAUAAAUACUGGGCAGGAAACAGAAAAAAAUGAUCACUUUUUAGAUAAUAUAUACAUGUAGAAAAUUCCAGAGAUUCACCUAAGAAAACUAUUCUAACUAAUAAGACAAGUUGGUGUAGUCACAGGGGAAAAAUUAAUGUACAUAAAUUAAUUGCCUGCAUGUACAUAAACAACCACCAGUUACAAGAUAUAAAAUAGAGUAAAAUACCCCAUAUUUAAUAAUAGCAUAACAAUAACACCUGAGAGAAUAAUUAAUGAAGAAAAUACAAAAUCUUUAUGAGAGUACUUCAUCAUAUAAAAGAUAAAAAUAAGGAAAACAAAACAAAUGGAAAGAAGGAUUCAAGAAAAGUUAAAUCAUGUACUUGUAAAACAAACAAAUUAGUGAAUAUAAUAUAAAAGAAACAGACUUGUAACAGAGAAAAACAAAUGACUCCCUUUUGAAUUUAUUCUUUUAGCUCUAACCUUUGUGCUCUGUUGUUUGUGUUGUCAUGCUGACUUACACCUCUGUAAAGAAAUAAAUGUUUCCUAUAUCCUGUAAUAUACAGGGGAGCCCAUUCUCAAGCCUCAGAUCUUUAAAGGUGUAACACCUUCCCAUUCAUAUAGAGGUAAAAAGUUGCAGAACAGGAAAAAUAACAAUUGUCUUGGAAGUUUACAGGAAAUGUGUGACUAGACCCAUGUGGACAGCUGCAAGAACAAAGGACAAAGGAUUCCAGUUCCAAGAAGUUUGCAAUAAUAAGCCACACCCCCUCCUCUUUUACUGUAAAAGAAGCCUGAAUUCCAACUUAAGUAAGAUGGUGCUUUAGGACAAUAGUCCACCAUCUUUUUGGUCUUCUUGUUUUCCAAAUAAAGUUGCUAUUCCUUGCCCCAUUACCUCAUCUCUUGAUUUACUGGCCUGUUGUGCCGCUCCUGGGUGGUAUAAGCUUGGGUAACAGAUCCACAGAUAGAGAACAAACAAGUAGUUACCUUUGGGGGGGAAGGAAGUGAGGAGGGGCAAAGUAGGGGAUUAAGAGGUAAAAACUAGUAUGUAUAUAAUAGUCUAUAAGGAUAUACUGUACAACACAGGCCAUAUGACCAGUAUUUUAUAAUAACUAAAUGGAAUGUAGCCUUAAAAAUUGUGAAUCACUAUGUUGUACACCUAAAACUUAUUUAAUAUUGUACAGUGACUAUACCCAAUUUAAAAAAAUCAUAAGCUUGUGUCAGAAGAUCUCUCAUCACGUAUAUGAAGCCUCCCUAAAUUAAUAAUUCAACACCAUCUCAAUAACAAAUGGCACCAUGAUUCUUUUGGAAAGUGAACACAGUGUUUACGAUGUGCCUUUAAAAAUAAAAAAGUAAGACUAGCCAAAUGCUGAAAUGUAUUAUGACCCUACCAGGUAUCAAAACACACUAUAAAGAUGCUAUAAUUAACACAGUGCAGUGAUGUAGGAUGGCAAUGCAGGCACAGACAGAACAAUGGAAGAGGACUAACAGUCCAGAUGUAGAUACAGAGGUACAAGGUAGUGUAGGAGAUGCUGAAAGUGGCCUCUUAAAUCAGUGAACUAUUCAACAAAUGGUAUUUGAAAAACUAAAUGGCCGUCUAGAAAAAAAUAUGAACUCUUAUUUCUAUUUCAUAUGGAUCACAAAAAUAAAUGCCAGGCUGAUGACAGAUUUAAGUGAAUAAAAUAUCAAGUCAUAAAAACAGGAGAAACAAAUGGGAGAAUUUUUUAAAUGUCAGAGUGGAGUACUUUUUUUUUUUUUUUUCUGUCUUUUUUCUUUUUAGGGCCGUAUCCUCAACAUAUGGAGGCUCCCAGGAUAGGGGUCGAAUUGGAGCUGUAGCUGCCGGCCUACAUCAUGGCCACAGCAACGCGCAAUCUUUAACCCACUGAGCAAGGUGGGGGAUUGAACCCACAACCUCAUGGUUCCUAGUCAGAUUCAUUCUGACGGGAGCUCCCAAGAGUGGAGUACUUUAAAUUCAACCUUUAGAUCAAAUUGUAUCAGCAGAUGUCAUGUUCCAUACUUAGAGCAAGUCGCUUAGUCCUGCCAGAGUCCAUAUUAAUGUAGCUGUAAAAUGUUGUUAUGGAGACUGUCUACUGCAACCCUUGCUGGAUCCCCUCAUGUGACAUGUCCUUCUAGGCUUUUCCUUCUAAG
This 2840-nucleotide long non-coding RNA is filed under the name Sus scrofa (pig). Its description in RNAcentral is "lncRNA (ENSSSCG00005021654.1)". The record is from RNAcentral. Lineage: Eukaryota; Metazoa; Chordata; Mammalia; Artiodactyla; Suidae.